Molecule: ribosomal RNA, 77 nt
Filed under: Staphylococcus nepalensis
Lineage: Bacteria; Bacillati; Bacillota; Bacilli; Caryophanales; Staphylococcaceae
Source: RNAcentral
UCUGGUGACUAUAGCAAGGAGGUCACACCUGUUCCCAUGCCGAACACAGAAGUUAAGCUCCUUAGCGCCGAUGGUAG